GUGGUGAAGGAGCAGAAGUAACCAUGAAGCAACGGAGAAAGAUAGAUCCAACCCCGAGGCAUUUGGAGGAUCGCAAUAUGCCACCACCAUUGUGUGAGGUGCCACCACCAGACUGCAGAGGUUCAAGACCCACAUUCAAACCUCAGUUUACCACACCACCUACUAGCCUUCUGACUUGGGCAAGUCAUUUAAACUCUCUGAGCCUCGCUCCCCUAAUCUGUCCAACUGGCAUCAUGAUAGAACUUCCUUCAUAGGAUUGUUGAAAGAAC
RNAcentral lists this long non-coding RNA (269 nucleotides) under Homo sapiens (human). RNAcentral describes it as "HSALNT0050331". The record is from RNAcentral. Lineage: Eukaryota; Metazoa; Chordata; Mammalia; Primates; Hominidae.